CGGAACACGUGAAAUUCCGUCGGAAUCCGGGAGGACCAUCUCCCAAGGCUAAAUACUCCCUAGUGACCGAUAGUGAACCAGUACCGUGAGGGAAAGGUGAAAAGCACCCCGGAAGGGGAGUGAAACAGUUCCUGAAACCGUGUGCCUACAAGUAGUUAGAGCCCGUUAAUGGGUGAUAGCGUGCCUUUUGUAGAAUGAACCGGCGAGUUACGAUUUGUUGCAAGGUUAAGCGGAAAAAGCGGAGCCGUAGCGAAAGCGAGUCUGAAUAGGGCGCAUAAGUAACAGGUCGUAGACCCGAAACCAGGUGAUCUACCCAUGUCCAGGAUGAAGGUAAGGUAAUACUUACUGGAGGUCCGAACCCACGCACGUUGAAAAGUGCGGGGAUGAGGUGUGGGUAGCGGAGAAAUUCCAAUCGAACUUGGAGAUAGCUGGUUCUCUCCGAAAUAGCUUUAGGGCUAGCCUCGAGGUAAAGAGUCAUGGAGGUAGAGCACUGUUUGGACUAGGGGCCCUUCUCGGGUUACCGAAUUCAGAUAAACUCCGAAUGCCAUGUACUUAUACUCGGGAGUCAGACUGCGAGUGAUAAGAUCCGUAGUCGAAAGGGAAACAGCCCAGACCACCAGUUAAGGUCCCCAAAUAUAUGUUAAGUGG
This 648-nucleotide ribosomal RNA is filed under the name Listeria monocytogenes. Its description in RNAcentral is "partial 23S ribosomal RNA". It matches the Rfam family "Bacterial large subunit ribosomal RNA", at positions 418 to 1066 of the family's 2925-position model. Lineage: Bacteria; Bacillati; Bacillota; Bacilli; Caryophanales; Listeriaceae. The record is from RNAcentral.